Helianthus annuus (common sunflower) is the source of this 498-nucleotide long non-coding RNA. RefSeq lists it as uncharacterized. The record is from RefSeq and is a predicted model, not a curated record. Lineage: Eukaryota; Viridiplantae; Streptophyta; Magnoliopsida; Asterales; Asteraceae. The transcript is spliced from 5 exons.
CAGGAAAGGGGAGGUGAAACCCUAACCUCAAGAAAUCAAGAAUUGAAGUGAAAUUCAUAGAGAAAUUUAGUGCAUGAGUCCAUAAAUUCGAAUGGCAAACCCUAACUUCUGAAGUGGCGUGAAGGAAGAAGGUUCAAAUACUAAGAAAUCGGAAGGUUCACAAGACCGAGGAUGGAAAUCUUGUCAAUUGACUCAAGCAUGGAUGGCAAACAGGGUAAGAGGAAGCGAUGAAGCAAGCAUGAACAUGGACGCUAAAGGCGUGAAGGAAGAAGGUUCAAAUACUAAGAAAUCGGAAGGUUCACAAGACCGAGGUAAAUCCUCAAUUUAGGGGACUUGGAGAAUCGGAGCGAGCACGUGUCCAUGUUAUGUUAUACCAUACGCUUCCGCUAACUAGUUCUCAUCUUUUGGUCCAUGACUUGUUAUUUUGCUUAGCUUUGUUAGUAGUCGUAUAUUUUAAAACUUGUUGUCUUUGUUUUUGGUAGGAUUAUGUCAAACGGA